This 460-nucleotide small RNA is filed under the name Cryptococcus sp. OGA-1. RNAcentral describes it as "eukaryotic LSU rRNA". The stretch from base 117 to 270 matches the Rfam family "5.8S ribosomal RNA". The record is from RNAcentral. Lineage: Eukaryota; Fungi; Basidiomycota; Tremellomycetes; Tremellales; Cryptococcaceae.
CAUCAUUGGGUUAGAUCUGCUCUCUUCGCAAGAAGAGGGUUUCCAUACACACCGUGAACUGUGGCUUCGGCCAUCACAAACUGUUAGUAAUGAAUGUAAUAUCAUAACAAAAACAAAACUUUUAACAACGGAUCUCUUGGCUCUCGCAUCGAUGAAGAACGCAGCGAAAUGCGAUAAGUAAUGUGAAUUGCAGAAUUCAGUGAAUCAUCGAAUCUUUGAACGCACCUUGCGCCCUUUGGUAUUCCGAAGGGCAUGCCUGUUUGAGUGUCAUGAAACCUCACCCCACUUGGGUUUUUGCCUGAGCGGUGGUGUAUUGGGUGUUGCCUUGCUAAAGGCUCGCCUUAAAGACAUAAGCACCUUGGAUGUAAUACGUUUCAUCCUUCUGGGUGGCUGAUAACCCCACAUAUUCAUGAUCUGGCCUCAAAUCAGGUAGGGCUACCCGCUGAACUUAAGCAUAUAU